GGAGAACCAAGGAGCCAUCUGGACAGAAGAAGAAAAAAGCCACCCAGCAGAUGUCAACUGAAACAGGUCCUUUUAAGAUGCAUACAAAAUCCAGUGAGAAAAAGCAGUCAGAGCCACACCUAGGUGUUCAAGCAGAGGCAUCAGAAAACAGUCUGUGAGAUGUCUUCCAACGAGAAGUUCGAACUUUGUGCACAUGCACGUUUUAGCUCACCUUUGCUGCGAGGAUCCCAUAGUCUAAUAUGUCUGUCAGUGCUCCCAGAUGCUAAGCGUCGACACAGUGGUGAGUAGGAGACAGAAUUAAACACUUUGUUUCCUGUCUGUCAAAAAAAGAAAGGAAUAAAAAAGGAGCUCCUGUCUUUCA
Long non-coding RNA from Dromaius novaehollandiae (emu), 361 nucleotides. RefSeq lists it as uncharacterized. NCBI's taxonomy places the organism in Eukaryota, Metazoa, Chordata, Aves, Casuariiformes, Dromaiidae. The transcript is spliced from 2 exons. The record is from RefSeq and is a predicted model, not a curated record.